CCGCUUCUUUAUUUACACCUACCACCCACACAACCAUUUGGAUUAGAGAGGGGAUUUGGUCUUGACUGCUUGAGUUACAAUUCCCUUUUUCAUUAUGAAGUGCUAUGAAUUUAAUGAUUUGUCGUUGGUUAAGUUUCAAUAAUCCAAUCCCCUCUCUCCUAAUUCAAUUCAUCUUAAGUUAAAUUAAUGCUUACUAUUCAAUUCUAUAAUUAAUUAAGAGAUGUGAUUUUCCCACUACUCUUUUCUCUACUUUACACUCUCU
Molecule: long non-coding RNA, 262 nt
Filed under: Prunus persica (peach)
Lineage: Eukaryota; Viridiplantae; Streptophyta; Magnoliopsida; Rosales; Rosaceae
Description: long non-coding RNA (PPER_LNC002861)
Source: RNAcentral